This 407-nucleotide ribosomal RNA is filed under the name uncultured bacterium. RNAcentral's name for it is "partial 16S ribosomal RNA". It matches the Rfam family "Bacterial small subunit ribosomal RNA", at positions 30 to 526 of the family's 1533-position model. The record is from RNAcentral.
AUUGAACGCUAGCGGGAUGCCUUACACAUGCAAGUCGAACGGAGUGGCGAACGGGUGAGUAAUGUAUCGGAACGUGCCCAGUAGCGGGGGAUAACUACGCGAAAGCGUAGCUAAUACCGCAUACUAUUGGAGCGGCCAUUAUCGGAUUAGCUAGUUGGGGGGGUAACGGCUCACCAGGGCGAAGAUCCGUAGCGGUUUUGAGAGGUGGACCAGCCACACUGGGACUGAGACACGGCCCAGACUCCUACGGGAGGCAGCAGUGGGGAAUUUUGGAAAAUGGGGGAAACCCUGAGCCAGCCAGCCCGCGUGGGCGUUGAAGGCCUUCGGUUUGUAAAGCACUGUUGUCAGGAAAGCGGUACCUGCAGAAUAAGCACCGGCUAACUACGUGCCAGCAGCCGCGGUAAUAC